This 2909-nucleotide ribosomal RNA is filed under the name Providencia rettgeri. RNAcentral's name for it is "23S ribosomal RNA". It matches the Rfam family "Bacterial large subunit ribosomal RNA". Lineage: Bacteria; Pseudomonadati; Pseudomonadota; Gammaproteobacteria; Enterobacterales; Morganellaceae. The record is from RNAcentral.
GGUUAAGCGACUAAGCGUACACGGUGGAUGCCUAGGCAAUCAGAGGCGAUGAAGGACGUGCUAAUCUGCGAUAAGCGUCGGUAAGGUGAUAUGAACCGUUACAACCGACGAUUUCCGAAUGGGGAAACCCAGUGCAAUUCGUUGCACUAUCGUUUGAUGAAUACAUAGUCAAACGAAGCGAACCGGGGGAACUGAAACAUCUCAGUACCCCGAGGAAAAGAAAUCAACCGAGAUUCCCCUAGUAGCGGCGAGCGAACGGGGAGCAGCCCAGAGUCUUAAUCAGCAUUAGCAUCAGGAGAACGGUCUGGAAAGUCCGGCAGUAAAGGGUGAUAGCCCCGUAUCCGAAGGUGUUAGUGUUGUGAACUCGACGAGUAGGGCGGGACACGUGUUAUCCUGUCUGAAUAUGGGGGGACCAUCCUCCAAGGCUAAAUACUCCUGAUUGACCGAUAGUGAACCAGUACCGUGAGGGAAAGGCGAAAAGAACCCCGGCGAGGGGAGUGAAAUAGAACCUGAAACCGUGUACGUACAAGCAGUGGGAGCCUUGAUUUAUCAGGGUGACUGCGUACCUUUUGUAUAAUGGGUCAGCGACUUAUAUUCUGUAGCAAGGUUAACCGUAUAGGGGAGCCGUAGGGAAACCGAGUCUUAACUGGGCGAAUAAGUUGCAGGGUAUAGACCCGAAACCCGGUGAUCUAGCCAUGGGCAGGUUGAAGGUUGGGUAACACUAACUGGAGGACCGAACCGACUAAUGUUGAAAAAUUAGCGGAUGACUUGUGGCUGGGGGUGAAAGGCCAAUCAAACCGGGAGAUAGCUGGUUCUCCCCGAAAGCUAUUUAGGUAGCGCCUCGUGAACUCAUCUUCGGGGGUAGAGCACUGUUUCGACUAGGGGGUCAUCCCGACUUACCAACUCGAUGCAAACUACGAAUACCGAAGAAUGUUAUCACGGGAGACACACGGCGGGUGCUAACGUUCGUCGUGAAGAGGGAAACAACCCAGACCGCCAGCUAAGGUCCCAAAGUCAUAGUUAAGUGGGAAACGAAGUGGGAAGGCUCAGACAGCCAGGAUGUUGGCUUAGAAGCAGCCAUCAUUUAAAGAAAGCGUAAUAGCUCACUGGUCGAGUCGGCCUGCGCGGAAGAUGUAACGGGGCUAAACUAUGCACCGAAGCUGCGGCAGCGAUAUGUAAAUAUUGUUGGGUAGGGGAGCGUUCUGUAAGCCUGUGAAGGUGUACUGUGAGGUAUGCUGGAGGUAUCAGAAGUGCGAAUGCUGACAUAAGUAACGAUAAUGCGGGUGAAAAACCCGCACGCCGGAAGACCAAGGGUUCCUCUCCAACGUUAAUCGGGGCAGGGUGAGUCGACCCCUAAGGCGAGGCAGAAAUGCGUAGUCGAUGGGAAACGGGUUAAUAUUCCCGUACUGGUGAUAAUUGCGAUGGGGGGACGGAGAAGGCUAGGCUAUCCGGGCGACGGUUGUCCCGGUUUAAGAAUGUAGGCAGGUGAAUUAGGCAAAUCCGGUUCACUAUAUGCUGAGGUUCGAUGACGAGUCACUACGGUGAUGAAGUAGCUCAUGCCCCGCUUCCAGGAAAAGCCUCUAAGCUCUAGAUUAUCAUUAAUCGUACCCCAAACCGACACAGGUGGUCAGGUAGAGAAUACUCAGGCGCUUGAGAGAACUCGGGUGAAGGAACUAGGCAAAAUGGUGCCGUAACUUCGGGAGAAGGCACGCUGGCAUUAGGUGAAGUCCCUUGCGGAUGGAGCUGAAGCCAGUCGCAGAUACCAGCUGGCUGCAACUGUUUAUUAAAAACACAGCACUGUGCAAACACGAAAGUGGACGUAUACGGUGUGACGCCUGCCCGGUGCUGGAAGGUUAAUUGAUGGGGUUAUCCGUAAGGAGAAGCUCUUGAUCGAAGCCCCAGUAAACGGCGGCCGUAACUAUAACGGUCCUAAGGUAGCGAAAUUCCUUGUCGGGUAAGUUCCGACCUGCACGAAUGGCGUAAUGAUGGCCAGGCUGUCUCCACCCGAGACUCAGUGAAAUUGAACUCGCUGUGAAGAUGCAGUGUACCCGCGGCAAGACGGAAAGACCCCGUGAACCUUUACUAUAGCUUGACACUGAACAUUGAGCCUUGAUGUGUAGGAUAGGUGGGAGGCUUUGAAGCGUGGACGCCAGUCUGCGUGGAGCCAACCUUGAAAUACCACCCUUUAAUGUUUGAUGUUCUAACGUUGCCCCAUUAUCUGGGGUGCGGACAGUGUCUGGUGGGUAGUUUGACUGGGGCGGUCUCCUCCCAAAGAGUAACGGAGGAGCACGAAGGUUGGCUAAGCAUGGUCGGACAUCAUGCGGUUAGUGCAAAGGCAUAAGCCAGCUUGACUGCGAGAGUGACGGCUCGAGCAGGUACGAAAGUAGGUCUUAGUGAUCCGGUGGUUCUGAAUGGAAGGGCCAUCGCUCAACGGAUAAAAGGUACUCCGGGGAUAACAGGCUGAUACCGCCCAAGAGUUCAUAUCGACGGCGGUGUUUGGCACCUCGAUGUCGGCUCAUCACAUCCUGGGGCUGAAGUAGGUCCCAAGGGUACGGCUGUUCGCCGUUUAAAGUGGUACGCGAGCUGGGUUUAGAACGUCGUGAGACAGUUCGGUCCCUAUCUGCCGUGGGCGUUGGAAGAUUGAAAGGGGCUGCUCCUAGUACGAGAGGACCGGAGUGGACGCACCACUGGUGUUCGGGUUGUCAUGCCAAUGGCAUUGCCCGGUAGCUAAGUGCGGAAGAGAUAACCGCUGAAAGCAUCUAAGCGGGAAACUUGCCUUGAGAUGAGUCUUCCCUGACUCUUUAAGAGUCCUAAAGGAACGUUUAAGACUAAGACGUUGAUAGGUUGGGUGUGUAAGCGUAGCGAUACGUUGAGCUAACCAAUACUAAUGAACCGUGAGGCUUAACCUG